Molecule: non-coding RNA, 1091 nt
Organism: Cyanistes caeruleus (blue tit)
Lineage: Eukaryota; Metazoa; Chordata; Aves; Passeriformes; Paridae
Source: RefSeq, a predicted model, not a curated record
CAGUAUGUUCAGCUUGUAAAAGUAGUGUCCUUUUCCAAAUUUUCUCUUCUUUAUGUUGAAGCUGUUACUGUUUGUAGCCAAAAAUUACUUGUUCUCCACCCCCAUUUCAGCACUGUUAUAUCUAUGCUCCUCAACCAUAACUAGCUGAAAUAACUCUAAUCACCUAUUUUUACUGUUUGAGUUAGGGAGGGUUCACAGGACUCAUUUUGCCAGAAGAGCUGAAAUGCUUGCAGAAAGGGAAAAGGGAAAGGGAUACAAAUUCAGAGCUGCAAAAUAGCAGCUGAACACGAUAAUAUCAUCAGCUGGCAGAGGUGGCUGCACUCUGAGCAUCUGUCUAUAGCCUAAAAUGACUGUUUUGUUCAGGGAUUUGUUUGCUUGUUGGUUGGAGUUUUGGUUUGUUAUACUGCAGGAUCACUCCUAACUGCUAAAACAAUUAAGAAAGAAACUUCAGAAAAAGAACACUAAGUCCUAUGGUUUUUAAUUCCCUACUGGGUUUUGGGAAGAAGUAGUUUGUGGCAAACAAGGAAGACAAACCUGGAUCUUUUGCUGCAUCCUUCCUCCUGUUUAAGAAGAUUUGUGAUUCUACAUCUAAAUCCAACAACUUUCCAUGUGGCCCUGCUUGUGUCUACAGAAAUGCCAGAAUCUGCUGCUGCAGACAUGCUGAAAGCAAGCUGAAAGCACCAUGAGCAGAAGAAGGUAUGGGAGCAAAUCCAGUAGAGGAAACAGUUGUUGGAAGAAAGCAAAAGCAGAGAUAAUGCCUCUUGCACAGUUCCCCCACAAAGCAGGACUGUGCCUCACCUGGAGCUCUGUUGGAUUGCUGUGCAGCUGCUCAAAGAGCAGAACCGAGGCAUGUUCUCAGCUUGCUCUUCCUGCCUUGUGGCUUUAAAGCACAGAACACUACCUUACCUCCAACAGCCCUGUCUAACCUGACUCCAAAUGCUCCUCCACCCCCUGGAGCAGGGGACUCACUGAAUCAGGAUAGCCCAGCUUUGGUUUGAGAAAUGCUGCCUCCUCCAAAAAACACCCAGAACAUUUCCAUGGCCACACCAAUCCUGUAGAGGCCUCAACAAAAGGAAAAUCAGACCUGUAAA